Molecule: long non-coding RNA, 2642 nt
Organism: Tigriopus californicus
Lineage: Eukaryota; Metazoa; Arthropoda; Copepoda; Harpacticoida; Harpacticidae
Exons: 2
Source: RefSeq, a predicted model, not a curated record
CUCUGUUCUGGUGUCUACCUAGUACACUCACUCACUCACUCACUCACUCACUUGACUCAGUGUUCCUUUGAAUCGAGCAGAUGGAGAAGAGGUCGGCAGCGAUGGCUCACAUUUAUCUUCGACUUUCUUUGAGCGGCGGACAGCCGUGUUGUUUAGCCGUUGUAAAAGUAAUACUUGCUCAAGCUGGAUGUUCCGUAUUUCGUUUUCACGACGAUACACAACUUGAUUGUACUUAGAACAACAACAACAACGAUUUGGCACAAUGUGGCCGUGGUUUGUGGCUUCUUUUCCCAUUAGACCUAAAGGUCGUUCAUGGGCUCGAAGGACGAAUUGAAGGCCACGCGAGUUUACUCGUUCAGUAGUCGAGGAACGAAUUCCAGCUCAUUUUACUCUGGCAUGGAUGAGUCUUCAAGGAAAUUAUUUUGUGCAGAAACUCGUGCUCUCAAAAACUUUUAUGGAACAGAAACGAACGGGCUCAACUCAAAACUAUACAGGCGUUCUUGAAUGUUUUUCUUUGGUUGGCAUCACUCAAAGGCGGCUUUGUCUCUAAAAAAUUAUGCACCCAGCGAUGUGUACCUUUGGAAUUACGUUCAUGGUCUCAAGUGGUGAACCAAUAUAAGUUUCGGCGCCAACCAGGUCGGGCAUGUUUACUGACAUCUCCAUAUGAGACCUUGUGAUUCAAUUGCCAGCAGCGCCUCUCUAUCUAAGGUGCUCACAAUGUACAAUCGUACUCUUGAAAGAAGCAGCCUUCAGUCGAAUUCAGUAUUGUUUGGAUAACUCAAACUCCUCCCUUAAAGGCCGAGGGUCUCUCUCGUCUUUCUUUUCUCUGCUCGUUUUUCGUUCUCACCCAUUCAUCCAUGGAGAGAAGGCAUUUUUCCGCUCUACCGCAAAGCCCUUCUAACAGGAUUCUAGCUCGAGUCAAUUCAAUCACCAAAUUCUAGCCAAACCCCAUGUGUGCACGGGUUGGUGGUGCCUGUGAGGAAGCAUAAAUAAGCCAACACUAGGGGGGAAAAAAUCCUCAGCCUGAUUGACUAAGCCUCUUUCGUUCCUCCAGAAAAGCAACUUUCUUACUUCAGGACGAAUUCAAGGACAGUUUCAGCUAGAUCUGCCACUUUUUGCGGCUUCGGCAAAUAACAAUUUAAUCAAAACACAGGGCCAAACAAUUGGGGUCGGGGAUUCGCUUCAAUUCAAACCGGUCGAAACGUGUUCCUUGAGGUUAGAGCAAAUGAAAAAUAGAAUCAGUGUUCGAGUCCACUGGCCUUGAUUGACCUCAACGAGCCUCUUGUUGACAUGCCUAUGUUAUCAAGGCAGCCUCGAGGUCAGCACCAACAAACAUGGAGCUUCAUGAUCUUAAACGGGGUUGUGUGCAAUCAUUUCAUGUACUCGUACCAAGUACUAAUUCCCUUAAUUACCCAUUCGGUCUGUAGGCUUCUAAUAACUCUGCACUGUUUUAUGAUCUUUAAAUGCAGAUUCAUUUACAUUAAUGUUGAAAAAGUAUGCAAUAUGUGUCUCGUGGCUGGCAUUCUCGGGGCAUUGGUCGAAAGUUUGGGUGUUGUGUCUUCAAAUGUAUCAUGCCAUGAAAAAUGCCGACUCAUGAUGCUGAUAAAAUGCCCAUCUUUGUGAUGCACAAUAUCUUCUCAGUUGGCUGAAAGUUUUGUCUGGCCUUUCUUGGGGGAAGAACACGAAGAAGGGCCCUGACGGUUGUUGAUGAUGAGCAGAUUCCAACACCCGACGGUCCACCCAUCCAAAGUCUCUGAGGCAUCAUCAAAUAUGGAUGACUAUGGUUUUUUCUUGGAGAGUGACAAGAAGCCCACUUUGCCAUCACCUUUCCUUCCCGGAUGAAAUGGAAGGAAAGAAUGAAGGAAAGCGAAACAAUAUUUCAUCAAAGAAUGUGGAUGGAUGUAUCAGGCCAUAAAUGAUAUGACAAAUUCGUUCUAAUCUAUGCUUUGAAACUUCCCACAACUUCUUCGAACUUCUCAAAGUGAGAAAGACCUACGACGAACACGAAAGCAAAGAACUACCAUCUAGCCGGAGGUUUUCUGCUCCAGGAUUGGGGAACUUGACUUGCUGCACCACCUUGGGGCCCCCACGUGACCCAUGGGGAUUGGAAGACGUGCCAUUUAUGACUUGGAUGGAUUCCAGUUCUGAUAGAUAUUCAUUUACGUAUUUGACUUCAGGACCCAUCUGAUUCGUUUCCUCAUCGAGUGACGCAACACAACGACAAGUUUUUCAAGUUUGACUCAAAACACACGAUAUCGACGAAUGAAGAGAGUGCUCGAACAAGUCCUGUUAAACAAAAAAUGGCCUUUUUGAGCUCUAAUGGAGCGGAGAAAGACUGAAAAAGCAAACAUUGACGACGCUAUGAUAUGAUUAGAACCCUUUAAAAAGACAGAAUGAGAUCAACACGAGGAAAAAUGUCCCGAGCUUUGUUCGUGUAUUCGAAAAUUUAGAGGUUUUUAUUAAAUAUGUAUACGUUCAUAUUGUUAUGGUAAGGCGAUUUUUUAUUUCCAUAAGCCGCCCAUUACAUCCCCUACCCAUCCCUCAUCAAGCUAGAACAACAAUUGCAGUGUAAAUAUGUUAUAGUCAUGAAAUCACCUUCGACCAACAGAGAACCAAACAAUCGAAUAAAACGCUACCAUCUA